Molecule: ribosomal RNA, 2083 nt
Filed under: Chlorogloeopsis fritschii PCC 6912
Lineage: Bacteria; Bacillati; Cyanobacteriota; Cyanophyceae; Nostocales; Chlorogloeopsidaceae
Description: 23S ribosomal RNA
Rfam family: Bacterial large subunit ribosomal RNA
Source: RNAcentral
UCAAGCUAAUAAGGGCUUGUGGUGGAUACCUAGGCACACAGAGGCGAAGAAGGACGUGGUGACCGACGAAACGCUCCGGGGAGUUGGAAGCAAGCGGGGAUCCGGAGAUAUCCGAAUAGGGCAACCUGUAUGUACUGCCUGCUGAAUAUAUAGGCAGGAAAGAGCGAACCCAGCGAACUGAAACAUCUAAGUAGCUGGAGGAAAAGAAAUCAAACGAGAUUCCCCAAGUAGUGGUGAGCGAACGGGGAAGAGCCUAAACCAAAGUACAUGUAUUUUGGGGUAGUGGGACAGCAUGAUGGAAUCUAGAGGUUAGACGAAGCAGCUAAAUACUGCACCAAAGAAGGUGAAAGUCCUGUAGUCGAAAGCUGACUGGAUACAAGCUGAAUCCCGAGUAGCAUGGAGCACGUGAAAUUCCAUGUGAAUCAGCCACGACCACGUGGUAAGGCUAAAUACUACUGUGUGACCGAUAGCGAAACAGUACCGCGAGGGAAAGGUGAAAAGAACCCCGCAAGGGGAGUGAAAUAGAACAUGAAACCGCAAGCCUACAAGCAGUGGAAGGACGAUAGUUCGUCUGACCGCGUGCCUGUUGAAGAAUGAGCCGGCGAGUUAUAAGUACUGGUAGGUUAAGGCGAGGAUGCCGAAGCCAAAGCGAAAGCGAGUCUGAAGAGGGCGCAAAUCAGUAUUUAUAGACCCGAACCCUGGUGAUCUAACCAUGACCAGGAUGAAGCUUGGGUAACACCAAGUGGAGGUCCGCACCGACCGAUGUUGAAAAAUCGGCGGAUGAGUUGUGGUUAGGGGUGAAAUGCCAAUCGAACCAGGAGCUAGCUGGUUCUCCCCGAAAUGUGUUGAGGCGCAGCGGUUGUGGUUGAAGUCGGGGGGUAAAGCACUGUUUCGGUGCGGGCUGCGAGAGCGGUACCAAAUCGAGACAAACUCAGAAUACCCGAUGUACACACAACCAGUGAGACGGUGGGGGAUAAGCUUCAUCGUCAAGAGGGAAACAGCCCAGACCACCAGCUAAGGUCCCCAAAUCAUCGCUAAGUGGCAAAGGAGGUAGAAGUGCACAGACAACCAGGAGGUUUGCCUAGAAGCAGCCACCCUAUAAUGAGUGCGUAAUAGCUCACUGGUCAAGCGCUUCCGCGCCGAAAAUGAAUGGGACUAAGCGAUGUACCGAAGCUGUGGGAUUAAUAGUAUUAAUCGGUAGGGGAGCGUUCUGUAGUAGGGUGAAGCACUAGCGGCAAGCAGGUGUGGACGAAACAGAAGUGAGAAUGUCGGCUUGAGUAGCGCAAAUAUUGGUGAGAAUCCAAUACCCCGAAACCCCAAGGGUUCCAGAGCCAGGUUCGUCCACUCUGGGUUAGUCGGGACCUAAGGCGAGGGCGAAAGCCGUAGUCGAUGGACAACGGGUUAAAAUUCCCGUACUCAAAAAUAGUAGUGCAGAGGGACGGAGAAGGCGAUUGUCAGCCGGAUGUUGGUUACCGGUUCAAGUAUGCGAGGCGAUGAGGAACGGCGAAAACGUUCCGAGCGAAGCUGCGAGUACGACUCUCUACGGAGAGGAAGUGGCAUAGUCUAGCUUCCAAGAAAAGCUCUAAGUACGUUAACUAUUUUUGACCCGUACUCGAAACCGACACAGGUGGGGAGGUUGAGAAUACCAAGGGGCGCGAGAUAACUCUCUCUAAGGAACUCGGCAAAAUGGCCCCGUAACUUCGGAAGAAGGGGUGCCCAAGGAUGACUUGGGUCGCAGUGAAGAGGUCCAGGCGACUGUUUACCAAAAACACAGGUCUCCGCAAAGUCAAUAGACGCAGUAUGGGGGCUGACGCCUGCCCAGUGCCGGAAGGUUAAGGAAGUUGGUCAGGGGGUAACCCUAAAGCUGACGACCGAAGCCCCGGUGAACGGCGGCCGUAACUAUAACGGUCCUAAGGUAGCGAAAUUCCUUGUCGGGUAAGUUCCGACCCGCACGAAAGGCGUAACGAUCUGGACGGUGUCUCGGAGAGAGACUCGGCGAAAUAGGAUUGUCUGUGAAGAUACGGACUACCUGCACCUGGACAGAAAGACCCUAUGAAGCUUUACUGUAGCCUGGAAUGGUGUC